CAACAGCCGGUGUUUUCUGGGAUCUACUCUCUACUUGGAAUAACAGUGGGUAAUUCUAGAGCUAAUACAUGCAUCAAGGGCCUGACGCAAGGACCGGUCGCAUUUAUUUAGAACAAAACCAACCGGUCUUUGGGCCGUUGUUUGGUGACUCUGAAUAACUGAGCAAAUCACAUGGUCUCGCACCGGUGAUGUAUCUUUCAAGUGUCUGCCUUAUCAACUUUCGAUGGUAGUUUAUGUGCCUACCAUGGUUGUUACGGGUAACGGAGAAUCAGGGUUUGACUCCGGAGAGGGAGCCUGAGAAACGGCUACCACUUCUAAGGAAGGCAGCAGGCGCGCAAAUUACCCAUUCUUGGUACAAGGAGGUAGUGACGAAAAAUACCAAGCCGAGGCUCAUUGAGUUUCGGCAUUGGAAUGAGAACAACCUAAACUUUUUAACGAGGAUCUAGUGGAGGGCAAGUCUGGUGCCAGCAGCCGCGGUAAUUCCAGCUCCGCAAGUGUAUAUCUAUAUUGCUGAGGUUAAAAAGCUCGUAGUUGGAUCUGCGUGUUCAGCAUCUGGUGUGGUUUCUGAUCACUACUGGAAUGCAACACAUUGGUGUCGGUGUGCCACUGAUGUUCUUCACCGAGUGUCAGUGGUGGCUAACGAGUUUACUUUGAACAAAUUAGAGUGCUCAAAACAGGCGUUUCGCCUGAAUAUGUCUGCAUGGAAUAAUAGAAUAGGACUUCGGUUCUAUUUUGUUGGUUUUCGGAACUGAGGUAAUGAUUAAGGGGGACUGACGGGGGCAUUCGUACUGCGACGUGAGUUUCGUUUUUUCUUGGAUCGUCGCAAGACG
RNAcentral lists this ribosomal RNA (830 nucleotides) under Tridentulus sp. BL-2017. Its description in RNAcentral is "SSU rRNA". It matches the Rfam family "Eukaryotic small subunit ribosomal RNA", at positions 104 to 937 of the family's 1831-position model. Lineage: Eukaryota; Metazoa; Nematoda; Chromadorea; Monhysterida; Monhysteridae. The record is from RNAcentral.